ACGAGGGUUGAAAUCCUCUGCAGUACCGUACGGUGCUGUUGUGUCGAUGACAUGUGGGAUCAGGUCCCACAUGGCAGUGACUGUACAACAUCGUACAGUACUGCAGAGGAUCCUAACCCUCC
This is a non-coding RNA of Triticum aestivum (bread wheat), 122 nucleotides long. Lineage: Eukaryota; Viridiplantae; Streptophyta; Magnoliopsida; Poales; Poaceae. The record is from Rfam.